ACUCCCAUGGCGUGACAGGCGGUGUGUACAAGGUCAGGGAACGUAUUCACCGCGGCGGCUGGGACAAUCACUAGUGAAUUCGCUGAUUGUAAAAGUACACCAUGAUAACUCGUUGUCGUGGAUAUACAUUCUUUGUGAAAGCAAAAGCGAUAAGUUAUCCACCUGGGGAGUACGACCGCAAGGUUGAAACUCAAAGGAAUUGACGGGGGCCCGCACAAGCGGAGGAACAUGUGGUUUAAUUCGAUGAUACGCGAGGAACCUUACCCGGGCUCGAACGGUGCAGGAAUAUGGUAGAGAUAUCAUAGCUAGCAAUAGUCUGUAUCGAGGUGCUGCAUGGUUGUCGUCAGCUCGUGCCGUGAGGUGUCGGCUUAAGUGCCAUAACGAGCGCAACCCUUGUCAUUAGUUACCAUCAGGUAAAGCUGGGGACUCUAAUGAGACUGCCACCCGUAAGGUGAGAGGAAGGGGGGGAUGACGUCAAAUCAGCACGGCCCUUAUGUCCGGGGCGACACACGUGUUAAUAUUGGGGGGCACAAAGGGCAACCAUCCGGCGACGGAGCCCCAAUCUCAAAAACCCCUUCUCAGUUCGGAUUGGAGUCUGCAACCCCA
This 606-nucleotide ribosomal RNA is filed under the name uncultured bacterium. Its description in RNAcentral is "bacterial SSU rRNA". It matches the Rfam family "Bacterial small subunit ribosomal RNA", at positions 663 to 1315 of the family's 1533-position model. The record is from RNAcentral.